RNAcentral lists this ribosomal RNA (497 nucleotides) under uncultured bacterium. Its description in RNAcentral is "partial 16S ribosomal RNA". It matches the Rfam family "Bacterial small subunit ribosomal RNA", at positions 28 to 507 of the family's 1533-position model. The record is from RNAcentral.
GAUGAACGCUGGCGGCGUGCCUAAUACAUGCAAGUCGAGCGAACAGACGAGGAGCUUGCUCCUUCUACGUUAGCGGCGGACGGGUGAGUAACACGUAUGUAACCUACCUAUAAGACUGGGAUAACUUCGGGAAACCGGAGCUAAUACCGGAUAAUAUUUCGAACCGCAUGGUUCGAUAGUGAAAGAUGGCUUUGCUAUCACUUAUAGAUGGACCUGCUCCGUAUUAGCUAGUUUGUAAGGUAACGGCUUACCAAGGCAACGAUACGUAGCCGACCUGAGAGGGUGAUCGGCCACACUGGAACUGAGACACGGUCCAGACUCCUACGGGAGGCAGCAGUAGGGAAUAUUCCGCAAUGGGCGAAAGCCUGACGGAGCAACGCCGCGUGAGUGAUGAAGGUCUUCGGAUCGUAAAACUCUGUUAUUAGGGAAGAACAAACGUGUAAGUAACUGUGCACGUAUUGACGGUACCUAAACAGAAAGCCACGGCUAACUACGUG